This 3122-nucleotide long non-coding RNA is filed under the name Homo sapiens (human). Its description in RNAcentral is "HSALNT0366665". Lineage: Eukaryota; Metazoa; Chordata; Mammalia; Primates; Hominidae. The record is from RNAcentral.
UUUUGGGGUCAAACAAUCUACCUGCCUUGGUCUUUCAAAGUGCUUGGAUUAUAGUUGUGAGCCACUGAGCUCAGCCUGUCCUAGGUCUUUUAAUGUCAAAAGAACACUUGCCCGCAUAUAUAUAUAUAUGUAUACAUAUUUGUCAUUUCUUUGUCUUAAAACUGGAAUAUCCUGCUUUAAAACUUUAAGACAAAGUGUAAAUGAUUUUCUUUUUUUAAUGAGAAAUAGUCACCUUUUGUCAAUUUUAUUUGCUGAUUUUAUUGACUUGCGUAUUCUACAGUGGAGACCUCAACAUAUUCUAUGUAUUGUGUUUUAGUAGCAAGGUGAACAUAUGUAUGAUAUUUUCCACCUUAAUGUUACUCUUUAAUUGAAUACAUUUAUAAGUUACAUUAAAGCUUAUUUUAUGUUGAAAGAAGGAGCUAGAAAACUAGUGAUGUUAAACAAUGUGUUAACAUUUAUUUUCAAUGAUGAAUCAUUUAGUUUACAAGACAUAUCUUGUAUUUUCUUUAGGUAAUUGCCAAAUCAGAGUCAAAUUUAUGAAUGGGCAACCAGUUCUCUUCACCACUUCCAGCUUAUACUCCUCUGGAGUGUAUCCUGAACCAUUGGGACGGCUUUGACCCUCAGAAUCUGGAGGAAAAACACCUCAUAGCCCUACGCACAAAGGGUUGGCCAAAUUAUGAUUUACAGGAAGGACUGAGUUGGCCUCAGGAAGGAACCAUUCAUUUCAAUACCACUUGGCAGUUGGAACUUUUCUGCAGACAUGAGGACAGAUGGUCUGAGGCCACAUAUAUGCAGGCUUUCUAUAUCUUGCAAGGCAAUCGAGACCUUGGCUAACAAUGUAAGAUAGAUCUAGCCCUCCUGUUUGCCAUCUUAGGGAAGGCUGCAAGGGGCAAGCCUAGAGAAUUAAAGAUAUGAGUCCCAGAGGCACCCCCAACAGGGGAGCCAGCUCCCUCAAGCCCUGCUCCUCCAGGUCUAUCCCAACCUCCCUAUCCAGCUUCAGCCUCUCACUUGCCCCCUCCUAGAAAUCCUCACUCUAAACAAGCCCCAGUCUCACUCCUGCCCCUCCAACAGAUGCCCAGUGAAUUUGGGCCCAGUAAGGUCCAGGUCUCCUUCUCCCUACAGGACUUAAAGCAAAUUAAGGAGGAUAUUGACAGGUUUUCAGAUGACCCUUAUAGAUAGAGGCUCUCCAGAAUUUCACCCAAAUAUUUGAACUCUCUUGAAAAGACAUUAUGUUACUUUUGAAUCAGACCCUGAUGGACACUGAGAAACAGUCCACUCUGCAAGCAGCAGAGAGAUUUAGGAAUGAGCUUUGUAUCACAUAUAGCGUCAGGGAAGGGGACGAAUAUUCUCCAACUGGAAGAGAAGCAGUACCAGUGAAUGACCCUAAAUGGCAUCCCAAUGAUGAGAUGGAAGACUGGAGAAGCACACACUUUCAGGUGUGCAUAGUGGAAGGCUAGUAUAAAUUUAUUACUCAGGCAGCUCCUGAUAUCAGGAGGAAGUUGCAGAAACGAUCCCUGGGAUCAGCUAGUACAUUAGAGGACCUCCUGAAAGUGGCUACCUUGGUCUUUUAUAAUACAGACAGGGAGGCCCAGGAAGAGAGAGGAAAUACGCAAAAGAGCAAAAGCUUUAAUGGCCACCAUGCAACCCCACAAACCCUAGAAUUCCCAGGGUACACCUGUUAGUUGCUAAAGAUAUUUCAAGAACAGUUAUCUCUCUGGUAAAGUUUAUUUGCUCCUGUGCAAGGUUUCAUUUCUUUCAACAGAGUGAAACAACUUGGGGUACAAUGUUAUUGUUAGUAUAUUUUCUUCUUAUGUCUGUAAUAUUUGGCACUAAAUUCUUUCCUUUAAUAAUACACAUGUUUAACCCAUGCAUACUUAACCUUAUAAAACUUGUUUUUUCUCUCAUGCCUGGAAGCCAUCAAACUCCAAAUGUUCAGGCAACCAGAGCCUCAGAUGAUGGCUCCGCUUUGCUAGGAACCCCCAGGUAGACCUCUCGGAAGCAUCCGACAGCAGUUUACCCCAAAAGAAUGCCCCCUGUCAGUGGGAAGCAGCUAAGACCAGUCAUUGUCCAUAUUCUCAUGGCAGUUAGAUACACCUCUUCAGAGAGGGGAAAUAAUAUGGGAGUGCUAGGAAGGGAAGAACAUGGCUGGCUAGGGCUCCAUACCCUGGCUAGUCCUGGCUAGGGCUCCACACUCACGGACCUAACUGAGAACAGGUAUUUCCCGCCCAAAUGUUGCAUUUCCCAAGACCACCCUGGCCUGCCAUGCCCCCAUCCUGUGCCUGCAAAAACCUGAGACCCUAGCAAGGCAGAUACAGAAGCAACUGGACAUCAAGAGGAGCACAUCAGCGGAGGAACACACAGGGAGAGGAACACAUAGGUGGCUGGACAUUGAGAGGAACACACUGACAGGCACCAGCAUGCUGGUAGGCCACUGACUGACAGAACAAUGCAGAGUUUGGCUGGGGCAGCUGGAGGACAGUCUGGGCCACUGAGCAGCCUGACUUCAGGGGAAAACCAUCUCCCUUCUGACUCUCCCAUCUGCUGGUAGCUAUUUCCACUCAAUAAAACCUUGCACUCAUUCUCCAAGCCCAUAUGUGAUCUGAUUCUUCCAGUACACCAAGGCAAGAACCUCAGGAUACAGAAAGUCCACUGUCCUUGUGAUAAGGCAGGGGUCUAAUUGAGUUGACUAACACAAGGCACCUAGAGCGGCUAAACUAGAAGAGCAAAACUAAAAGAGCACACUGUAACACAUGCCUACUGGGGCUUCAGCUGCAAACAUUCACCCCUAGACAUUGCUGUGGGAUCUGAACCCCACAGCCUGCCCGCCUGUAAGCUCCCCUAGAGGUUUGAGCAGGGAGGCACUGAAGAAGCCAGCCACACCCCCAUCUCACACCCUGCAAGGGGAUAAGGGAACUUUUCCCAUUUCACAUUCAAGCCAGAACUGUUAAGAGAAACAAUGGGUAAUUUUCUGGCUUAUACUUAUUCUGGGUUCCAGAGAAGGUUGGUGUUCUGUUUCUACCUUCAGAAUUGCAUUGGCUACUUAAUCUAAAAGCUUUGGUCAAACAAGCUGAUUGUGGAGUUAACUGCUCUUCAUUAAAGCUACUUAGAGCUUUUCCACUUCA